Long non-coding RNA from Nycticebus coucang (slow loris), 693 nucleotides. RefSeq lists it as uncharacterized. The record is from RefSeq and is a predicted model, not a curated record. NCBI's taxonomy places the organism in Eukaryota, Metazoa, Chordata, Mammalia, Primates, Lorisidae. The transcript is spliced from 5 exons.
AGUUUCAGGAGAUGGUGAGAGAGAGACAGAACUUCCUGCAUAGGGCUCUUGGUCAGCUGCAGUUCCGACGGGAGUUGAGCCGCCUCCAGCUCUUGCACACUCAGAUCAUUGCCUCAGGAACCCUGGUGUGUUUGGAGAAUUACCCUGGAGACAUAUUCUAUGGGACAGGCAGCACCUCUCUCAGGGGGCAGGCUGCUGCCUGCCCACUGCUGACCCCAUUCCUGAAGCACCUUACUGCAAUGAUAGCAGAAGCUCAAGGCCAUAGCCCAGGGCUGAAGGAUCAGAGGCCAGGAAUAAAUGUCGAUAAAGCUGAUAUCAAAUGAACUUCACCAUUCUUCUCCAUCUUGAAGAAAAUAGACAUCCGGUCCCAAGCCCAGAAGGCAGAAGCUGAAUUGCAAAGACAAGUGCCUCACAAACCAGACCCCAAAAGUGCUUUGCAAGAUCUCCUGAAACCUCAGACAGUGCAGAAGGAAGAGCUGGUAGUUGUGCAACCCACAGACCUUUCUGCCAGGGAGUUUGUGGUUUACCAGUAUGGCCUCUUCCUCCUGCACCUGCUCACCCCCCAGUUGCAUGCUCCAGAAAUCACCCUGCAGAUUGCUUCCCAUCUUCCUGCCAUGGAAGCCUCAGGCAAUGCCUUCCAAGACUCCUUCUAUCAGGUGCUACAAAUCCCCAUUCCCAAAUAUGGGUUGUAAA